Ciona intestinalis (vase tunicate) is the source of this 670-nucleotide non-coding RNA. NCBI's taxonomy places the organism in Eukaryota, Metazoa, Chordata, Ascidiacea, Phlebobranchia, Cionidae. The record is from RefSeq and is a predicted model, not a curated record.
UUUUUUUUAUUUUAUACGUUGCGCGGAGCUCUGUUUUUUUCGUUUUUUUUUUUUCUUUUUGUCUUUGUUUCGCAAAGAUGCCAAUGAAGGAGAAUUGAUUUUGUACAGAUGUUAUGCGUGUUCAUAAUCGCUAUACAACCUCUACUCCAAUGAUGUGACACUAACCCUGGAAGCCUGUUUAAAUAACUUGGGCUCAAAAACUUUUAAUAUUCUGAGCCUAUCUAAUCAAUUGGGGCUCUUUAAAAAGUUCAACCCUGAGCCUAUCUAAUUAAUUGGGGCUCUUUAAAAUGUUCAACCCUGAGCCUAUCUAAUCAAUUGGGGCUCUUUAAAAAGUUCAACCCUGAGCCUAUCUAAUCAAUUGGGGCUCUUUAAAAAGUUCAACCCUGAGCCUAUCUAAUCAAUUGGGGCUCUUUAAAAAGUUCAACCCUGAGCCUAUCUAAUCAAUUGGGGCUCCUUUAAACAGUUCAACCCUGAGCCUAUCUAAUCAAUUGGGGCUCUUUAAAAAGUUCAACCCUGAGCCUAUCUAACCAAUUGGGGCUCUUUAAAAAGUUUAACUCUGAGCCCAUCUAAUCAAUUGGGGCUCUUUAAAAAUUCAACUCUGAGCCCAUCUAAUUAAUUGGGGCUCUUUAAAAAGUUCAACCCUGAGCCUAUCUAAUUAAUUGGGGCUCUU